GUCUCCUCGGGCUCUCUUCGCUAUCCGUCGCAUAUCCACGCCAUCCCUGCCUGCUCAGGCCCGCCACUGGAGCCGCAGCCAUCCAGGGCCCACUUACUCUGCUUCGGCCUGCCUCACAGAGGCCGGUAGCCCAGGGUCGCCGGGUCGCGGCUGUCCGGUGCGGGCGUCGAGAACACGCCGGGCUUUGGGCUACAGGGCCUCGGCCAUGGAAAUCCCUGUUGAGCUUCAGGGGCACGGGUGAGGCAGGCCCUGGCAGGCCAAGGUGAUGAAGGCGCCUCCAGUUCUUGGCCCUGUGGGCCCCUCGAAAUGACACGGUAACCAUCCGGACCAGGAAGUUCAUGACAAACCGUCUGCUUCAGAGGAAACAGAUGGUCAUUGAUGUCCUUCAUCCUGGGAAGGCCACAGUACCAAAGACAGAAAUUCGGGAAAAGCUGGCCAAGAUGUACAAAACCACACCAGAUGUCAUCUUUGUAUUUGGAUUCAGAACCCACUUUGGUGGAGGCAAGACAACUGGCUUUGGCAUGAUCUAUGAUUCUUUAGAUUAUGCAAAGAAGAAUGAGCCUAAACACAGACUUGCGAGACAUGGCCUUUAUGAGAAGAAAAAGACCUCCCGCAAACAGCGAAAAGAACGAAAGAACAGAAUGAAGAAGGUCAGGGGGACUGCAAAGGCCAAUGUUGGUGCUGGCAAAAAGUGAGUGGAGACUGGAUACAGCCAAAGGAGUAGUUCUACGGUGACUUGAUGUUCUGCUGUGAUAUGCAAAUUUCUGAGGGUAAAAUAAACUAAAAAAGCUUCUGCG
Molecule: long non-coding RNA, 797 nt
Filed under: Rattus norvegicus (Norway rat)
Lineage: Eukaryota; Metazoa; Chordata; Mammalia; Rodentia; Muridae
Description: long non-coding RNA NONRATT011223
Source: RNAcentral